AGAUGUGAGGGCGAUCUGGCUGCGACAUCUGUCACCCCACUGACGACCAGGGUUGAUUCGGCUGGUCUAGCUGGCUGGGGGCGGUCCCCUUCCUCCCUCACCUCUGCACGUGCUUCUCUCCCAGAGCUUUGUGCUCGGUGGAACAGGACGACCGCCUCCGAUGGAGGAGGACCAUUCCUCGGUCAGGGGUGUACGGGUAGCUGCUGCUUAGUUUUAAAAUUUUGUUUCUUGUAUUUUGGGUUUUAGUCCUGAAAU
RNAcentral lists this small nuclear RNA (255 nucleotides) under Chinchilla lanigera (long-tailed chinchilla). RNAcentral's name for it is "7SK RNA (ENSCLAG00000021679.1)". It matches the Rfam family "7SK RNA". Rfam says of the family: 7SK was discovered as an abundant small nuclear RNA in the mid-70s but a possible function has only recently been suggested. Two independent studies have found that 7SK RNA binds the CDK9/cyclin T complex (known as elongation factor P-TEFb). Lineage: Eukaryota; Metazoa; Chordata; Mammalia; Rodentia; Chinchillidae. The record is from Rfam by way of RNAcentral.